This 253-nucleotide ribosomal RNA is filed under the name uncultured bacterium. RNAcentral's name for it is "partial 16S ribosomal RNA". It matches the Rfam family "Bacterial small subunit ribosomal RNA", at positions 524 to 776 of the family's 1533-position model. The record is from RNAcentral.
UACAGAGGUCCCAAGCGUUGUUCGGAUUCACUGGGCGUAAAGGGUGCGUAGGCGGUCGGGUAAGUCUGAUGUGAAAUCUCACAGCUUAACUGUGAAACUGCAUUGGAUACUAUCCGGCUAGAGGAAUGGAGGGGAGACUGGAAUACUUGGUGUAGCAGUGAAAUGCGUAGAUAUCAGGAGGAACACCGGUGGCGAAGGCGGGUCUCUGGGCAACAACUGACGCUGAGGAGCGAAAGCGUGGGGAGCGAACAGG